GACGGAAGGUGCAAGCGUUGCUCGGAAUCACUGGGCGUAAAGGGUGCGUAGGCGGCCGUGCAAGUCUGGCGUGAAAGCCCCGGGCUCAGCCCGGGAAGUGCGCCCGAAACUGCGCGGCUCGAGUGCCGGAGGGGAGAGUGGAAUUCCUGGUGUAGCGGUGAAAUGCGUAGAUAUCAGGAGGAAUACCGGUGGCGAAAGCGACUCUCUGGACGGCAACUGACGCUGAGGCACGAAAGCGUGGGGAGCAAACAGG
RNAcentral lists this ribosomal RNA (253 nucleotides) under uncultured bacterium. RNAcentral describes it as "partial 16S ribosomal RNA". It matches the Rfam family "Bacterial small subunit ribosomal RNA", at positions 524 to 776 of the family's 1533-position model. The record is from RNAcentral.